Molecule: long non-coding RNA, 1411 nt
Filed under: Gossypium barbadense (sea-island cotton)
Lineage: Eukaryota; Viridiplantae; Streptophyta; Magnoliopsida; Malvales; Malvaceae
Description: long non-coding RNA (GBAR_LNC004131)
Source: RNAcentral
AUCAGUGCUGGUAAAGAAGGCUAUUCUUUUUUGUAAAUUCUCUGUAUCAAACUCCACUAUAUCACAAGUAUAUUAGAGCGGGAACAGCUGAAAAGAAUGUGAUGUGAAGGGGCAAACGUAAUGCCUCCAUACACAACCAAAAAAAAAAAAAUAAAGAAAACUUUAUUAAACCGAGUAUGUUUACAGACUUUAAACCAACAGUAAUACAGAUUUAAAAACCAAUAGCUAAAUAUUUAAAUACAUUAAAUAUUUGAAUUUAAUAAGUUUUACAUUUUUAAUAUAUUAUUUGCAUAAAAAGUAAAUAAAUUCAAAGAAAGAUUUGUAUCUGUUGCAGACAAUAACUAUAAUAUUCAAAUCAAAAUAUUAUUAUACAAAUUUAGAAAAAUAAAUGAGAAAAAGGAUUAAAAAUCCGAACCUGCAUUACCUUAUUUCUAAAAGGAAAUCAUGAACCCGUUUCUGAUCCAUUGAUUUAAGGGCAUCUUAAACGAACAAGAACAUUGAUCAAGUUAACUAAAUGUUUCCUCAUAAACAUGGCUUCAUCCAAAACAAAACCUCAUACCAUUAGAAUUUGCCUUUUAAGCAGAAGCUGCUGCAACCUUCUUCCUUGGUGCUGCUUCAAUACCUAUACAUCACCUCCAAUAAAAAAUAAGAACAUUUUGAAAGAAAAAAAAACCCAAAAUUUCUUACAAGAAUAGAAAUACGCAAUGGAACUAAAAUCAGAAAGCAAUGAGCCUAAGGACAUUAGCAUUUUCCUACCUUCCCUGAAACAUAUCUUGAACCUACGAGGAACAUGGUGAAGAUACCUCUAUACACCAGUGAUGGAGAUGUUAGCCUCAUCUAAUUGAAACCAACAGCUAGAAACACAAAUAAUCUCACAAGUUUAAAAACCCAAAAUAACCAUAAGACAAUGAUGCUUUGAACCCCUGUGAAAUUAUCAAAACAAAAGACAAAGGCAAUGUUUGCAAAAGAACAAUAAAUAAAAUCCCUUCUUCAAUCUUCCAGCCACCAAAUCAAAGGGAAAAAUUCCGUUACUUCUUAAUACAGAUUUGUCAAAACAACAUAAAUGAAUCAUUAUUUCAGAAACCCAAAAAAAGCAAAAUUAUAAAGAAAUAAUCUGAAAUUAAAAUAAGGGAAAAAAUAGAGAGCACAAUUUACCUAGAAUUAAAAGAAACCCUAACAGAUCGAGAGAAAAGGAGUAGUUAUGGUGGGUGAAUUCAGUGCAAUGAAAUGAAAAGGAAAAAGAAGUGUGAUUGGGGCGCGCGACGGAUAUGAGAAGAAGAGGGAGUAACGAAUGGGUAACCAAAAAUUAUUUUUUGAGAGUGAGCGGGAUUUUGAUUUCCCCUUUUUGGUAUAAAAAAUAAUUGUCUUUUGCGGGUUUUCACAAAAAAAGCCAUUAUAGCUCAAAUUUUAA